This 388-nucleotide ribosomal RNA is filed under the name Syndiniales sp. RNAcentral's name for it is "partial small subunit ribosomal RNA". It matches the Rfam family "Eukaryotic small subunit ribosomal RNA", at positions 582 to 975 of the family's 1831-position model. The record is from RNAcentral. Lineage: Eukaryota; Dinophyceae; Syndiniales.
AUUCCAGCUCCAAUAGCGUAUAUUAAAGUUGUUGCGGUAAAAAAGCUCGUAGUUGGAUUUCUGUUGAGGACGACCGGUCCGUACCAUGUACGCGCAUCUGGUUCGGCCUCGGCAUCCUCUCGAUAGACGUUUCUGCGCUUGAUUGCGUGGAGCGGAUUUCGGGACUUUUACUUUGAGGAAAUUAGAGUGUUCACGGCAGGCUAUCGCCAGAAUACAUUAGCAUGGAAUAAUACUAUAGGAUCUCGGUUCUAUUUUGUUGGUUUCUAGACCCGGGGUAAUGAUUAAUAGGGACAAUUGGGGGCAUUUGUAUCAACACGUCAGAGGUGGAAUUCUUGGAUUGUGUUGCGACAAACUACUGCGAAAGCAUUUGCCAAGGAUGUUUUCAUUA